This 71-nucleotide transfer RNA is filed under the name Sphaerodactylus townsendi. Its description in RNAcentral is "tRNA-Thr". The record is from RNAcentral. Lineage: Eukaryota; Metazoa; Chordata; Lepidosauria; Squamata; Sphaerodactylidae.
GGGCUAUGGGUCAGUGGUGGAGCAUCUGUUUGGUAUGCAGAAGGUCCUAGGUUCAAUCCCUGCCAUCUCUG